Molecule: unclassified non-coding RNA, 86 nt
Filed under: Streptococcus thermophilus
Lineage: Bacteria; Bacillati; Bacillota; Bacilli; Lactobacillales; Streptococcaceae
Source: RNAcentral
UUGCUUUUUCUUUUGCCAUACGGUAUAAUUAACCCAAGUAUAAUAUAUCCAAAAGCCCCGCCUGCCAGCUCGGCUUUUUUUAUUUU